This 468-nucleotide ribosomal RNA is filed under the name uncultured bacterium. Its description in RNAcentral is "partial 16S ribosomal RNA". It matches the Rfam family "Bacterial small subunit ribosomal RNA", at positions 28 to 507 of the family's 1533-position model. The record is from RNAcentral.
GACGAACGCUGGCGGCGUGCUUAACACAUGCAAGUCGAACGGAAAGGCCCUGCUUUUGUGGGGUGCUCGAGUGGCGAACGGGUGAGUAACACGUGAGUAACCUGCCCUUGACUUUGGGAUAACUUCAGGAAACUGGGGCUAAUACCGGAUAGGAGCUCCUGCUGCAUGGUGGGGGUUGGAAAGUUUCGGCGGUUGGGGAUGGACUCGCGGCUUAUCAGCUUGUUGGUGGGGUAGUGGCUUACCAAGGCUUUGACGGGUAGCCGGCCUGAGAGGGUGACCGGCCCCAUUGGGACUGAGAUACGGCCCAGACUCCUCCGGGAGGCAGCAGUGGGGAAUAUUGCACAAUGGGCGGACGCCUGAUGCAGCAACGCCGCGUGCGGGAUGACGGCCUUCGGGUUGUAAACCGCUUUCGCCUGUGACGAAGCGUGAGUGACGGUAAUGGGUAAAGAAGCACCGGCUAACUACGUG